RNAcentral lists this long non-coding RNA (1202 nucleotides) under Vulpes vulpes (red fox). RNAcentral's name for it is "lncRNA (ENSVVUG00000020597.1)". The record is from RNAcentral. Lineage: Eukaryota; Metazoa; Chordata; Mammalia; Carnivora; Canidae.
AGAUUGGGGGUUACAGUGGAAUAUUUCUCUCUUAUGGACAGAAAGGGCCUUGUCAAAACAAAAAAGCAAAAAACUCUCUGAAAUGGGAAAGAUUUCUAUAUUCUCCUUUUCCUAUCCAACUCUCUUAUGACUAGAAUGCCUUUGAAAUCCCUGUCAGUCACAGAGUUAAAUGUUCACCUCUUUCAUGUGUGUGAAAACUGGUUCUUUCAUUAGGGAACAUAUAAAGUAGGCCAAUUAGUAUAUUUACAGCACUGAGUUUUAUCAUUAUCAUUAUUAUAAAAGCCUUCCUAUCCAGAGUUUGAUGUUUAUUGGAACCAUUUUCAGUAUCUUCAAGGUCUCUGCCUUUAGUACAUCACUACAAAAAGACUUCCUCUACUUGGUAGUGAUUGGUAAUUUUCUUCACAUGUAUGGAGGUGGCCCAAUACAUGGUUGGACUAUCAUGCAGAAAACUGAUAUGUCAGUUUGUGGUUGUUGAUUCAGCUUUGUAAUACUAAAACCCUUGGUGGCUUUAUUUCUAUAUGUAAUUGAGAUUGUCACGUGGCCUGCCUAUAUUCAUAUAUCAUUUUUCAGCUCACUCAAAUCAUUCUAACAAAUGUUUAUUUAUUGCUUCAUUCUCUCCUGAUCCUAGAGCAGAUUGGGACAUCCAUCCAAUGUUUCAGCACAUUCCUGAGUUACCACUGUGAUGGAGUGUUCUUGGAAGACUCUCCAGUUUCUUACUUCUCAGGACAUUGGCUGUUUUCCAAAGAAUGUACCUUUGGAGACAGUCAUUAUCACUCCUGGGUUUUGCCAGUUUAAUUUUGCUAUAUUCAGAAAUCACACUAGAAGCACUCUCUGCCUCAACCAGGCUUCUGGGUUGUUCUGCUUUCGGAUAUUGUCGGAUGCAACAGAACAUCGAGUUAAGGAACACUGAGGAGUGCUGAGAUUAGAGAAGUGUUAUCCUAGAGAACAAAGCUAUUAAAUUCUCCAAACCUGAGUUAAAAGAAUACCUAGUACCACACUUAAUUCCUGGUGUGAGCAGAAUUAAACUUAUUUGAUAAUCUUUGACAAGAUCAUAAAUGAGGGAGCAGAAGAGUUAGGGGACUGAUGUUCAUGAAGAGAGGAGAAUGGAGGAAGGUACUCAACUGGUCCCUUUCCCUUGGUCAAAUGGAAUUUGGGAUUAAUGAGCAAAUAAAAACAUUCACGAAGUUUGUUAGUAUCUCCUC